Oxyura jamaicensis (ruddy duck) is the source of this 528-nucleotide long non-coding RNA. RefSeq lists it as uncharacterized. Lineage: Eukaryota; Metazoa; Chordata; Aves; Anseriformes; Anatidae. The transcript is spliced from 3 exons. The record is from RefSeq and is a predicted model, not a curated record.
GCUUAGCUCAAGAGCAGUGUUGCCCAAAGAGACCUUUGGCUCUCUCUAUAGGACAUAAACUACCUCCUGAGGUAGUAGCACGACUCACUAUUGACUAGAAAAGGUUUUGCACCAUCUGUUCCAGUGCCUUCCCAGAAUCCCUCCUCUUCCCUAAACUCUGUGCCCGGGAAAGACAAACUUGGCAGUCACAGCAGAAAAUGAGGCAAGAAGAACUCAGAGCAAAAGGACUAUGAUUAGUCUCUCUAGGAGUCUAAUGCUGGACUUAGUAUAGCAAUAUUGGGCACAGGGACACAAGAGCUACAACACAUGUUUUGUAAGAUUUGUGCUAGCAGUUAGCACACAACCACUCAGAAGCUGACAGUGGAAGCCAUAUUUCGUCAAAACCUCUGAGCACAGAUUCAAAGAUGAUGUAUUUACACCAAAGCUGGGCAUCUAAGAAUCAGAGUCCAGCAGGAGCUAUAUCAAAAGCCUGAUCUGCCUUUACUUCAGGCUGAAAAGAGAGAUGAAAACUAAAAAUAAAUUUAAAAU